This 1562-nucleotide ribosomal RNA is filed under the name Staphylococcus aureus. RNAcentral's name for it is "partial 23S ribosomal RNA". It matches the Rfam family "Bacterial large subunit ribosomal RNA", at positions 22 to 1581 of the family's 2925-position model. The record is from RNAcentral. Lineage: Bacteria; Bacillati; Bacillota; Bacilli; Caryophanales; Staphylococcaceae.
CGGUGGAUGCCUUGGCACUAGAAGCCGAUGAAGGACGUUACUAACGACGAUAUGCUUUGGGGAGCUGUAAGUAAGCUUUGAUCCAGAGAUUUCCGAAUGGGGAAACCCAGCAUGAGUUAUGUCAUGUUAUCGAUAUGUGAAUACAUAGCAUAUCAGAAGGCACACCCGGAGAACUGAAACAUCUUAGUACCCGGAGGAAGAGAAAGAAAAUUCGAUUCCCUUAGUAGCGGCGAGCGAAACGGGAAGAGCCCAAACCAACAAGCUUGCUUGUUGGGGUUGUAGGACACUCUAUACGGAGUUACAAAGGACGACAUUAGACGAAUCAUCUGGAAAGAUGAAUCAAAGAAGGUAAUAAUCCUGUAGUCGAAAAUGUUGUCUCUCUUGAGUGGAUCCUGAGUACGACGGAGCACGUGAAAUUCCGUCGGAAUCUGGGAGGACCAUCUCCUAAGGCUAAAUACUCUCUAGUGACCGAUAGUGAACCAGUACCGUGAGGGAAAGGUGAAAAGCACCCCGGAAGGGGAGUGAAAUAGAACCUGAAACCGUGUGCUUACAAGUAGUCAGAGCCCGUUAAUGGGUGAUGGCGUGCCUUUUGUAGAAUGAACCGGCGAGUUACGAUUUGAUGCAAGGUUAAGCAGUAAAUGUGGAGCCGUAGCGAAAGCGAGUCUGAAUAGGGCGUUUAGUAUUUGGUCGUAGACCCGAAACCAGGUGAUCUACCCUUGGUCAGGUUGAAGUUCAGGUAACACUGAAUGGAGGACCGAACCGACUUACGUUGAAAAGUGAGCGGAUGAACUGAGGGUAGCGGAGAAAUUCCAAUCGAACCUGGAGAUAGCUGGUUCUCUCCGAAAUAGCUUUAGGGCUAGCCUCAAGUGAUGAUUAUUGGAGGUAGAGCACUGUUUGGACGAGGGGCCCCUCUCGGGUUACCGAAUUCAGACAAACUCCGAAUGCCAAUUAAUUUAACUUGGGAGUCAGAACAUGGGUGAUAAGGUCCGUGUUCGAAAGGGAAACAGCCCAGACCACCAGCUAAGGUCCCAAAAUAUAUGUUAAGUGGAAAAGGAUGUGGCGUUGCCCAGACAACUAGGAUGUUGGCUUAGAAGCAGCCAUCAUUUAAAGAGUGCGUAAUAGCUCACUAGUCGAGUGACACUGCGCCGAAAAUGUACCGGGGCUAAACAUAUUACCGAAGCUGUGGAUUGUCCUUUGGACAAUGGUAGGAGAGCGUUCUAAGGGCGUUGAAGCAUGAUCGUAAGGACAUGUGGAGCGCUUAGAAGUGAGAAUGCCGGUGUGAGUAGCGAAAGACGGGUGAGAAUCCCGUCCACCGAUUGACUAAGGUUUCCAGAGGAAGGCUCGUCCGCUCUGGGUUAGUCGGGUCCUAAGCUGAGGCCGACAGGCGUAGGCGAUGGAUAACAGGUUGAUAUUCCUGUACCACCUAUAAUCGUUUUAAUCGAUGGGGGGACGCAGUAGGAUAGGCGAAGCGUGCGAUUGGAUUGCACGUCUAAGCAGUAAGGCUGAGUAUUAGGCAAAUCCGGUACUCGUUAAGGCUGAGCUGUGAUGGGGAGAAGACAUUG